UACGGGAGGCAGCAGUGGGGAAUAUUGCACAAUGGGCGCAAGCCUGAUGCAGCCAUGCCGCGUGUAUGAAGAAGGCCUUCGGGUUGUAAAGUACUUUCAGUCGUGAGGAAGGUGUUAAGGUUAAUAACCUUAGCAAUUGACGUUAGCGACAGAAGAAGCACCGGCUAACUCCGUGCCAGCAGCCGCGGUAAUACGGAGGGUGCGAGCGUUAAUCGGAAUUACUGGGCGUAAAGGGCACGCAGGCGGUUAAUUAAGUUGGAUGUGAAAUCCCCGGGCUUAACCUGGGAAUGGCAUUCAAGACUGGUUAGCUAGAGUCUUGUAGAGGGGGUAGAAUUCCAUGUGUAGCGGUGAAAUGCGUAGAGAUGUGGAGGAAUACCGGGUGGCGAAGGCGGCCCCUGGGACAAAGGCUGACGCUCAUGUGCGAAAGCGUGGGGAGCAAACAGGGAUUAGAUACC
This 455-nucleotide ribosomal RNA is filed under the name uncultured bacterium. RNAcentral describes it as "bacterial SSU rRNA". It matches the Rfam family "Bacterial small subunit ribosomal RNA", at positions 340 to 786 of the family's 1533-position model. The record is from RNAcentral.